GCCGCGUGAAGGACGAAGGUGCCAAGCAUUGUAAACUUCUUUUGUCAAGGGGAACAAAAUCAGGCUCGAGAGCCUGACCGAGGGUACUUGAAAGAAAAAGCAUCGGCUAACUCCGUGCC
Molecule: ribosomal RNA, 119 nt
Filed under: uncultured bacterium
Lineage: Bacteria
Description: partial 16S ribosomal RNA
Rfam family: Bacterial small subunit ribosomal RNA
Source: RNAcentral